Molecule: long non-coding RNA, 1536 nt
Organism: Hyaena hyaena (striped hyena)
Lineage: Eukaryota; Metazoa; Chordata; Mammalia; Carnivora; Hyaenidae
Exons: 3
Source: RefSeq, a predicted model, not a curated record
GGACUCUGAGCUGUCAGCACCUAGCCUGACGAGGGGCUUGAUCUUACAACCAUAAGAUCAUGACCUGAGCUCAAGUUAAGAGCCAGAGGCUCAACGGGCUGAGCCACGCCGGGCGCCCCCACACUGGACUUCUCUACCUUAGGGUGUCUCAUGACCUCCAUAUUGACUCAUUUUUUCCCCUCCUUCUUCUCCAACAUCCCGCCUUUCUCGUCUAAGUAGCCAGAGAUCUGAGUUGCCAGGGCUGGUUUGGGCGCCCGGCCCAGGUAAGGACAGCCACCUCGCCUGCUCAGAGCCGCUGUGUCCAAGCCUUCCUGAGGCCGGCUCGCAGAGUGUUAGCUGCAGUACGGCCUAUGAAUAUUCUACAGGAGGACAGUGAUGUUGCAGCCAACUGGAAGAAAAGAGCUGUUCUUCUGGGCGUCCCUCUGACUGCUGACUCUCGUCUCUCAAGAGGACAUCAAGAUGAAUGCUGCUGCUGCAGCUUAGAAACCCAGGGUGUGCGGACAGGCCAUAAGAGGAGCAAAGCAUCCCUGAGGCCAGCCCUAAGAAACCUUCAGACCCUGGAGUGAUGACGUUACAGAGCAUCCAGCCUGAGCAGAGUCAACAGCUGACCGCAGCCAGGUGAACAAGUAAUGGGUUUGGAGCAAACCCUGACACAACACUAAACACCUGGUCGCGGUGCUGUCACUACAAGAGCCUAACAGGUGGCGCGGCCUGACCACCGGCCGGAAGAGCAGCGGAGAGGCCAUGAACAUCUGGGAAGUAGAGUAACUGCUACAGGAAGCUGGAAAGAUGAUGACAUUUUGUAAGCAGCAAAACAAAGGUGUGCUUUCAGCUGAAACAGAAAGGGUCAAAGUGAGAAUUCGUUCACACUGGCUGUGUGUGAAGAGACGGUUCUGAAACGCACGUCUCUGGGGGACGUGACUUGAUGAAAUAAAAUAGGAAGCAUUUGAAAAGAUCAACUACGGCAAUUACACAAUAUAGCACGAGAAGAAAAAAACAAUAGAAAAGCUUCUGAGGGCUAUGGGCUGUAGAAAAAUGGAAAUGUAAUCAUAGUUCAUGACUUUGCUCAGCGAACAGUAUUUAUAGAGUCAUGAUCAUGUAAAUGCUAGUGAACCAGUUGGAAAGUAACAGUAAAUUACUGGAAAAUAGCAGAGAAAGUUCUUACGGAGUAACUACAAUUUCAUAUAAGAAAAUAAAUCGAUAAAUUGUUUAUCAAGAUAAUUGCAGUAUAGUCCUAUUAUCUGGCAUAGAAGCUAAAAAGGCUAAAAAGCAAAAUUUCACCGCUAGGUGGCACAACUAACAAAUGGAACAGAAGUAUGGGAGAGUAUUAAUUUUUUGGAAAGCAUUGCACAUGUUUUAUGCCAUGGUAAUUUCAAAAAUAAAGUUUGGAUAAUUUUUGCUCCUUCUGUUAGCAUAUGCAGAGGUAUCAUUGCAAAAAUCAAUAGAACUAUCCAUAUAAUUCACGUGUGCUUACAUUGUACUUGCAGUAAAAUGACUUAAACAUUACUCUUGUAAUAAAGCUACAUUUCUAUUAGA